AGAUGCCUGCCAGUUUCAGGUGCCUGCCGCCGCCGUGCGUCAGGUGAAACGGGAAGCCGGUGCGUCGUUAUCGACCAGUCCGGCGCUGCCCCCGCAACGGUAAGCGAGUGAAGCAUUCAACCCGCCACUGUGCCCACAGGCAUGGGAAGGCGAAUGGCUUCAAGCCUCGCAAGCCCGGAGACCGGCCUGAAGCCCCACGACUGCA
RNAcentral lists this non-coding RNA (205 nucleotides) under Pseudomonas sp. JV241A. The record is from RNAcentral. Lineage: Bacteria; Pseudomonadati; Pseudomonadota; Gammaproteobacteria; Pseudomonadales; Pseudomonadaceae.